Molecule: ribosomal RNA, 441 nt
Filed under: uncultured bacterium
Lineage: Bacteria
Description: partial 16S ribosomal RNA
Rfam family: Bacterial small subunit ribosomal RNA
Source: RNAcentral
CCUACGGGAGGCAGCAGUGGGGAAUAUUGCGCAAUGGGGGCAACCCUGACGCAGCAACGCCGCGUGAUUGAAGAAGGCCUUCGGGUUGUAAAGAUCUUUAAUCAGGGACGAAAAAUGACGGUACCUGAAGAAUAAGCUCCGGCUAACUACGUGCCAGCAGCCGCGGUAAUACGGAGGGAGCAAGCUAUUUCCGGAUUUACUGGGUGUAAAGGGCGUGUAGGCGGGCUUGUAAGUCAGAAGUGAAAUCUGGGGGCUUAACCCCCAAACUGCUUUUGAAACUGCGGGUCUUGAGUGAUGGAGAGGCAGGCGGAAUUCCCGGUGUAGCGGUGAAAUGCGUAGAUAUUGGGAGGAACACCAGUGGCGAAGGCGGCCUGCUGGACAUUAACUGACGCUGAGGCGCGAAAGCGUGGGGAGCGAACAGGAUUAGAUACCCGAGUAGUC